This is a long non-coding RNA of Diorhabda carinulata, 638 nucleotides long. RefSeq lists it as uncharacterized. NCBI's taxonomy places the organism in Eukaryota, Metazoa, Arthropoda, Insecta, Coleoptera, Chrysomelidae. The record is from RefSeq and is a predicted model, not a curated record. The transcript has 4 exons.
UAUGCCUGUGAACAUUCUACAACAAAAAUAAGUGAAUUUAGUGAAAUUUGUGGUACUUGACAGCUACUGGUGUUGCGGUGGCGUGGCAUUCCUGUAUUGUCUCGUGCUGCUGACGUGCUCGACGUAGAUGUCUCUGGACCAUUUGAUGGUGUCGCUGAUCAUGAACCGUAUUGAUAUGGCAUAGCAUUAUGGAACAUCCGGGUUUAGAAGAAAGGCGUUUACGAUAUCCAUCUAUUACUUAAAUUGUUAGUUGAUAUGAAUAGCAGUCAAAUUUGUCACAAAACGAGUGCAAAGGUUCCACAUCAAAAAACAGGAGUGCACAGUAAAAACAUAAAACUGGAGUGGUACCGAAACGCUUUUACCGCAAGUAUACAUGCAACUAUUGUAAGUAGUUUUUGGGGUCCUCAUCACAAGAAUUACCUGAAUACUUUUAGUACGGCAGGAUAUCUUGUUAAUCCUUCAGAAAAAAAGACAUUUGUCGUUAACUACAUAACAAUGAGAAUAAUGGAAAUACUCCCCAGUGUUAUUCAUAAAUAUAGUUUCAGGAGAAUUAAGGAGUAACAAUUUUUUUCUUUGUGAUAACCAUAAUACGUAUGAAAAGCAAGCACUGCCUUGUUAAAUAUUAUAAUAAAUAUAGU